GGGGAGCUGGCAACAAGCUUUGAUCCGAAGAUUCCCGAAUAGGGCAACCUCAUAGAACUUCCUAUAUAAUUCAUAGUUAGGUAAGAGGCAACCCAGUGAACUGAAACAUCUAAGUAGCUGGAGGAAAAGAAAGCAAACGCGAUUCCCGUAGUAGCGGCGAGCGAACCGGGAACAGCCUAAACCUACGCCGCAAGGUGUAGGUGUCGUGGGAGGACGCAUAUUUAAAAUUUCUAGUUUUUAAUACGAAGCAGCUGAAUCCUGCACCAUAGAUGGUGAAAGUCC
This 282-nucleotide ribosomal RNA is filed under the name Tetrabaena socialis. RNAcentral describes it as "7S ribosomal RNA". It matches the Rfam family "Bacterial large subunit ribosomal RNA", at positions 80 to 373 of the family's 2925-position model. Lineage: Eukaryota; Viridiplantae; Chlorophyta; Chlorophyceae; Chlamydomonadales; Tetrabaenaceae. The record is from RNAcentral.